CACCGGCCGGCUGAGGUACCUGGCCGUUGGACUGCUUGGUGAUCUGUGCUGCCGGGAGCUCGCUGCGGGUGAGCACGACGGGGAGCGUGGCGGGAGCACCGGUACAACGGGCCCUGCACGGCGUGAGGGGGGAAGACCUGUAAGGUUUCCUUCAAGGGGCAACCCUAGAAUACCGAUUUCAGUCUUUUCAUUCUACGCAAGCACCUUAAAAGCCUGGGCGCUGUGGCUGCAUGUCUGUCAUACUCCAGCCUUUGUAUCAGGGCUGUGAACACUGCCUCAGAAAUAGGGCAUUGGAGAUAGCGGCUUCCUAAGUAGUGAUUCUGUGCUGCUCACAGAGGAUUUACCCGUGCCAAAUACCUGAGUUAUGUUUAGAAGAAGACUUCAAACAACCUUCACCUCAGCUCAUACAAAAUGCCCUCGGAUGGAAGUCAAGCACUGCACAAAUCAGGAGUCACUUUCGGGGUAGCAUUGUGCAAACCGUGCAGCACGGCUGGCAUCGGCUUCAGCUCAGUGACAGACACGUCCCCCUCACAGCCAGCAUCCCACCCCUCCCAGAACCACCUGCAGCACCACCCUUUCCUUUACACCUUCUAAGUUGUUGCCCGGGACAUUUUAUUAGCCCUGCUCAGCUGUACAGCACAAAGAAUGCGUAUUUCUUCUUCUGCAUAGUGUUGUCUUUACCAGUAAAAUUUAGCUGGGGCUUGAUGUUCAGAAGGGUGAAGAGAUUAUGAGAGAAGGGAAUAACCCAGGCCAGCUGUGUAUAUUCUGACUGCUCAUUUAAGCAAAGGCAAGGAAAGCAGUCUGGCUGCAAAAAGUAAAAUAUUACAGGCUAUAUCAUAAGGUUUGGAUGUGAACAUAUGUACACAAUGCUUCUUUCACAGGAUUCCUGCUGUAAACUUUGUCCUUUACCGGGUGAUUCAAUCCUCUGUAAUGAAAAAGCUGCCCCCACUCUGAACUUUACUGUUUUUUUUUUUUUUUUUUCUUUCCAAAGAAUACUAAGAGACUAAAACAAAAGACACAAGAAAGUAUACUCCAACUUGUGUUCAAAGAAUCUUUCUUGGAAAAUGAAAAGCCAUGGUACCAUUGAGAUCAGCCAUUCAAAGGCACUGAAACUUUGCCACAGCCUUCACAGCUGCUACAGAAGUUCAUUUGAUACAGCGCUGCAUUCCCGGUAUGGUUAAUUCACACUUCUCUGGAAGAAUAUAAACCUUCUAGAGCAAAAUGUGCUGAGGAUGGCUUUCAGCUGCCACGCUCUUACCUAAAGCCAAGUGCUUUGGAAGUGCAGUACAGGGAGAAAAAAAUACUUCCUAAGCUCUCUCAUAACACUGAAGAAAAAAUAUUGUGAGACUUGGACCAAACUCCUUGAGAAACAGAUCCACUGUGAAUUUUUCCCUGUUUUCCUGCAUGUGAAUCAUUCCAAAAAGGUACAGCUACAUUGACAAGAUGAAGGAGAAUGAGACAAAACAGAGAGUAGAUGAAGUCAGCCCAUGCAUUGAAAGUGAGCCAAAUCGUGAAGGUGACUCAUUAUGAAGAUGUAAACAAUCCCGGUUGGUGACUCAGUGGUGAGGAAGCUUGGCUAAGACAUCUGUAGUCCAUAUAAAGAAAACAGGAUGAGAUUUCUCUGGGGUAUAGUGAACACAACUGAGUAAUUGCUUCGUGGCUUUGUGAAAACUAUCAAAUAUAUAACAUCAGAGAUGUUCUGCAUUAGACAGAGAAGCGCUUUGCACACAGCAACUAAGUACCAACUUUGAGAAUUAUCAAUUCACCAGGAUGAGCUGUAGUGAUGAGCUGGAGUUCCCUCAUUUUCUUUGUGCCCAUCCUCAUGUGAUAUGCUAUGCUGUUUUCAUGUGGCUGAGCUGCCUUGGGACAGUCUUGCAGUAGUUUGUGAAAUUAAAUGCUGAAGUACAGGAGGGAAACUAUGAAGUGAGAAGUUUCAAACUUCAUAUUUCUUGAAUAAUGUUUUUGGUUUCACUCUGAUUCAGAAUUGAUGUCAAAAUAACAGAAUGGGUCUUUAAUGCAUACUCUCAUUGCAAUGAGAAUACGCUGUCCUCAUACAUUUAUUUAACAGGCCUUACUUUAAAGUACAUGCACAAAAUUCUUUGCAUGAAGUAGCCAGCAGUUGUUGGGGUCUCCAUCCUGGUGAAACACUCCUUAGCGCUCCCUGGUGUUGUGAGAAUGGUGGUCUUUCAAACAUGACUUUUUAGGAGAAGGCAUUUCUCUGUUUCUGAUUCUGGUUCCAGCGUUUGUUCAGUUUGUUCUGAUCACCUUUUCAGCCAGCUCUCCUAAACCGUGUAAAAAAGAGGGACCUAAUAAAAUAAAGAAAUUAGCUGUAGCUUUCAGGAAAAUCAUGAAUAUUUUUCAGACUAUUGAUAAAGUUGUAAGAUUUUAAAGAGACUCCACUUCUGUGUGUGGUGUAGGAUACUAGAUCAUUUGUGCAGCAUGCAUUCACAGUUACUUGAAGAACAUUAUUUUCAGUGGUGAAUUUAGUGGUAAACUCCCUGCUUCACUCAACUGCUACAGUUAUGUAGCCUCUUCCUAAAAGUGGUUUUGAAAAAGCUUAUCUUAAUUUUCUUUUCAUGGACAAUAGUAAAAAUGAAAAUUGACUUAUUUUUGUCUGCUUCUUGACUCAUAAGUUAUUCUAUUAUUAUGUUUUACUAGUAUAUUAACCAUGAAAUCUAAAGCUAUUUAUUAUUUAAUGUGCCAAAAUUGUGAAACUUUUUCUCAAGAGAAAUUUAAAAGUAUACAUUUUAAAAGAUUAGAAGUGAGUUCACAAUUUUAAGUUCAGUCAUGGUGUUAUCACAUUCUGUGGUUACAGUUUCUUGACAAAAGAAUAUAUAUAUAUUAAAACAUUCCUUUGUGGACUUCAUUUGUGGCAUUUUCUUGCCUUCUAUCACUUUGAUGUGUGUAUGUGCACUGUGGGGAACUGUGGUUUGCAAAUAGAAAUUACCCAACAGAUAGAUGGAUAAGAUUAUCCCUAAUUCCUGUUAAAGGGAGCUAAGGAUGCAGAUUGUUUGGAUAUUUUCAAAUAUUUCACCAAAGUGGAUAUGUGGUCUAACUUUAUUACUGUGGGAAAGCCACAGGCAACAUUCUAAGUUGUGUAAACUGAUACAGUAACUUCAGCUUUGCUGAUUUAUGGU
Molecule: long non-coding RNA, 3137 nt
Organism: Pezoporus flaviventris
Lineage: Eukaryota; Metazoa; Chordata; Aves; Psittaciformes; Psittacidae
Exons: 7
Source: RefSeq, a predicted model, not a curated record